GACGAACGCUGGCGGCGUGCUUAACACAUGCAAGUCACGGGGGCUCGCAAGAGCAACCGGCGAACGGGUGCGUAACACGUGAGCAACCUGCCGAUCUGAGGGGGAUAGCCGGCCCAACGGCCGGGUAAUACCGCAUACGUUCUCGAGGGGGAGUCCUCUUGAGAAGAAACCUCCGGGGCAGAUCGAGGGGCUCGCGGCCUAUCAGCUAGUUGGUGAGGUAACGGCUCACCAAGGCAUCGACGGGUAGCUGGUCUGAGAGGAUGGCCAGCCACAUUGGGACUGAGAGACGGCCCAGACUCCUACGGGAGGCAGCAGUGGGGAAUCUUGCGCAAUGGCCGAAAGGCUGACGCAGCGACGCCGCGUGUGGGAUGAAGCAUUUCGGUGUGUAAACCACUGUUGCCCGGGACGAACAUCCUCUUUCGAGAGGACUGACGGUACCGGGUGAGGAAGCACCGGCUAACUACGUGCCAGCAGCCG
Molecule: ribosomal RNA, 477 nt
Filed under: uncultured bacterium
Lineage: Bacteria
Description: bacterial SSU rRNA
Rfam family: Bacterial small subunit ribosomal RNA
Source: RNAcentral